CAGAGCUAGGGAUGAAACUGAAGGAUUGGGCCUCAGGAGCAGUAGGAGAGCUGUGAGUCUGCCUUCAUUCUACUUGUUGCCAUGGGAGAUUCAGUUUGACUGAACUAUAUCCUAGUCAGCCUGGGAUCACCACUCUCUGUUGCUGAGACUACAGGAAGGCCACCAGGCCUGCCAAUAUUUUACAUGGGUGCCAAGGAUCCAAGCUCUAGUCCUUACAUUCAUGUAGCAAAAAACACAGAAUGGCUGAAUGAUUCUGAAACAAAUUCCAUCUAUCUAUUAACUGCAAGAAGCUCAUCUUAGUUUUAAAGAUAUGCACCACCUAAAAUGAAAGGAUGGACAAAACUAUUCCAAUCAAAUGAAACCAGGAAGCAAGCAGGCAUCACUAUAUUAAUAUCUGACAAAAUCAAAUGAAGCUAAUCAGAAGAUAUAAAGAAGGAUACUUCAUUCUACUCAAGAGAAAAAUUAA
This is a non-coding RNA of Peromyscus maniculatus bairdii (prairie deer mouse), 466 nucleotides long. Lineage: Eukaryota; Metazoa; Chordata; Mammalia; Rodentia; Cricetidae. The record is from RefSeq and is a predicted model, not a curated record.